GAGUGUUACUGUUUUCUUUCAUUUGUAUUACUGUUCGUACUAUAUCCUUUAAAAAAAAAACUAUUUUCUGAGCCAGGAAGCAAAGGAGCUUCCAUUUUUAGUGUUUAAUUUGUUUAAUGUGCCUCGGCAAAAGCAAAUAAUUCCUGAGAGAAAGCAGAAUCCUCAGGAAAUUGAAUGUGUUUUGUCUCCAGCGAAGUUUCCCUUGAGUGAUUUCGUUUGCUUUCUGUCUCGCCAAGCAGGCUCUGCACUGGGACCUCCAGCAGGCUGGGGCCAGGCUGGGCAGUCUGCAGCCCCUCUCCCCACCUUAGGUGGUGAGGCUUCUCUGAUCCUCAGCCCACUGGCCAGGUAAACUGUGCUCCCGAAGAACAAAACGUAGCCUUGUAGAGUCAUUCUAAUGCGAGGAGAAAAUAGGAUUAGGCCAGAGUGUCAGCCAGGAAGCAAGGAUGCCUCCUGCCUACAUUUGGGUCUUGGAUUGACUCACUACAUCACAGGACUGCUGGGCUCCAGGAUGCGAAGAUCCAGCCACAACUGGCACCAGAGAACAAGAGAAGCUUCCUUUCCAUCUCUGGUGGCCUGCUCACCAAAGACCCUCUGGUCCCGUCAACUUGGUGUUAACUCUUGGGUGUAAAUGCCUUUGAGAAAAUACCCACUGCACCUCCUACAGUGAAUCCCACUGCUCACACAGGGUUUGUAUGAAGUCUGCCCUUUAUGGGCCAUCUACACAUCUCCUGUAUAAGAUACAGAAGGUGAGUCUACAGUCGUACAUAGGAAGAGCGACCUAGGAUUUAGUGGGCCAAAUACAACCACGAAACGUCGCCUGGCAGCCUGAUUCCACAAACGCUGUAACCUUCCUCCUCCCUCCUGUGGGGACUAGGAAAGAAAAGAGAAAGAGAGGCACAGCCUCUGGUCUCGGAGGUAGGCAGGAAUGGAGGGGUUUCUAAGGGCAGGUCAUCUCCUUUCAACAAACUCAGAGAUUUGGCAAGUCACCAGGUAAUUCUUUCAACCACAAAAUCCGCAGGCAACACAAUUUAAAAUCUCUUGGCAGAGACUUCCGGAAGUGCUUCCUCCCUUCUUUCUCUGGAGCUCCAGCUGCAGGACCACCGUGAGGAAGCUGUCACCGCCGCUAAGGCUGGCUGCCCUCUCUGGGAGUUGCACUUCCUUCCUCCGGUCCCUAAUCUGAGGACUGCUGGAUUGCAGACUUGGAAUAUUGGAGAUUGCGGAGGACGUGACACUUGACCCUGCAACCCGAACCCCGCAGGGGCAGCCGCCGCCUUGCAAAGUAGCAGUCCCCGAGCAGCGCCGCGCGGCGGUGGCCGGCCAAGCCCUCCGGGAGCUCUCCGGGUCCCCUUCCUCGCCCCCACCCCCGCCUUGCUCGCAGCUUGCCUCUGUCGACCCCUUCCCGCAGCCGCGUUUCAAUCAAACUCACUGAGACGGCACCGAGCGGGCGCCGGGGACAAGAAACGCCUCGCCAGCGACAACGCGCGAACAAGCGGAGCCGCGGGCCCCGGCGCCUCCGCCCACACGCGCCCCGCGUGCUGAAACCCGCACCUGGCCCACGGGUAGCCGGAAAAGCCGGGUCCCGGCCCGCCCGCCGGGCCGCCCCUGCUCCCGCUCCCCCAGCUCCAAGCGCUGCGGCUCAGAAACCCACCCGCCCGGCCCAGCCCCCGCCGGAGCCCUGCACCUUGGGGAGCCGGAGGCUGGGGAGGGGACCAGAGAAGGGGAAGAAGGGGCAUCGCCCUUCUUCCUACCCUGGGACAGCGCCUGGACUGGAGCUGGGUGCCGAGGAAACGACGGGAAGAGCUGACAGAGAGGCGGAGGGAGAAAAGAAAGGAAAAGAGGCAGAGACGAGGAAGGGAAGAAAGGGAUCCGAAGUGACCCGCCCUCGGGCCUCCGCGCCGGUGAUGCCCCGCGCCCAGGGCGAGGCCGUGCUUCGCGGGCAUGAGAAGCCAGGAGGCAGCGGAGUGCGGGUCUGGGGCACCGGGGACAUUGCCAAACAUAAUUGGGGUGCCAAACUGGGCUUCUUAAUCUCGAAGCCAGGAUGGGCGGGUGUGGCCGGGGGUGCGCGGGGUCAGCCAGCUUGGGGUGCUUUCCUUCGGGGCUCACACCGGCAGCGCGGACCGGCCGAGGCCGCUGGGACUGCAAGUCCGCCGCCUGCUUUUGUUCUGGGUUCUGCUGUAAUUUAACAUAAAACGCCUGUUAGAAUCACUGCUGCCGAAACACGCGUUUCUCCUUGUUUUGCCACCAACUAACAGGAUUAGGCAACAAGAGCGAGAUUUCAAAUUAACCAUAAAAAUGACAAAUUGCAAUUCAUUUAGCUGCCCACUUACUACAUUAAAAAACAUAAAUAAAUGAAUCUGCGUAUUCAGAGGGUUGAACGGCCCGCAAGGAAGCGAAAGCGGUUGAACUCAGGCCUCCGGGUGGGAGUCAGGGCUGUGGCGCUGGCGAGAGCGGGCCGCCGCGGAAUUCGCACCGUCUUCCAAGGGCCCGGAAAGAGGC
This 2496-nucleotide long non-coding RNA is filed under the name Homo sapiens (human). RNAcentral's name for it is "HSALNT0131280". The record is from RNAcentral. Lineage: Eukaryota; Metazoa; Chordata; Mammalia; Primates; Hominidae.